Molecule: long non-coding RNA, 948 nt
Filed under: Homo sapiens (human)
Lineage: Eukaryota; Metazoa; Chordata; Mammalia; Primates; Hominidae
Description: non-protein coding lnc-ST3GAL4-55:8
Source: RNAcentral
CACAGUGAGAAGGCGGAGGACCAUCUGCAAGCAGGAAGAGAGCCCUCGCUAGAACCCCCCACGGUGGCAUCUGAUAGUGGACUUCUAGCUUCCAGAACUGAACUCAUAAAUGUCACAUCAGGCUGCCUCUUGGUGAAUUUUUAAUCAACGGGGAGAAUUUCAGCUACAAAUAGACCAAGAAUCAAGAGGCCCACUAUUGAUCGGUCAAAGUGGCACUUAUGAACCUGAGGUUGAAGCAGUUUGGAUAAAAGGAUUCUGGGCUUUCGAUGGCCCCAGAGACAUCUUUUUCCAUCAAGUCCAGGCUUGCUGAUCGGUACAGCUGAGAACAUGUUGAAUUUGAUGUGCCUGUGGAUAUUUGAGUCUGGAACAUUGAAGACAAGUUUGGUCUGGAGAUGUAGACUGGGGAUAUCUCAGCACACAGAUGAUAACUGAAAUGAUGGAGCGGAUGAUAUAAACUGGAGAGAGUCUGGUGUGGGAAGAGUCUUCCCUGAGGUGGCCGAAAGAUGUAAUUCUUACUCCAAAGACUGAAAUAGAGACAAGAGAAGCUGAAGUUACAGGGUUUUGUCAUUGGGAAGACAGUAGAGUGUGUCAUAUCCCAAGAGUGAAGCAAGGACAAACCAAAGAACAACUGGGAAGAUCUGGGAGAAAAAGGGAGAGGAGAGCCUGACGUUUCAAGAACUCAAGGUUCAGUACUAGGUCUUAGAGGAAGACUUCAUUUUAGCUUUGAUGCUCUCCGCUAGGCACAGAGAAACUUAAGCAGAAUGACAAGACCUGCUGUUUGAGUAACUCACGUUCUGACCAGAGAGACAGACAUGUCAGCAAGAGGUUACAAUACAGUGUGCUCAGAUUCUCCGGGACUUGGAGCACUUGUUCCAGAAAGGAAGGCCAGGGAAGUCUUCCAGGAGUAGAUGGCGCCUCUGCUGACCUGAAGGGUGAGGAAAAAGUGUC